UACGAAGGGGGCUAGCGUUGCUCGGAAUCACUGGGCGUAAAGGGUGCGUAGGCGGCCGAGCAAGUCGAGUGUGAAAGCCCCGAGCUUAACUUGGGAAUUGCGCUCGAAACUACUUGGCUGGAGUGUGGCAGAGGAAGGUGGAAUUCCAGGUGUAGCGGUGAAAUGCGUAGAGAUCUGGAGGAGCACCGAUGGCGAAGGCAGCCUUCUGGGCCAACACUGACGCUCAUGCACGAAAGCGUGGGGAGCAAACAGG
This 253-nucleotide ribosomal RNA is filed under the name uncultured bacterium. Its description in RNAcentral is "partial 16S ribosomal RNA". It matches the Rfam family "Bacterial small subunit ribosomal RNA", at positions 524 to 776 of the family's 1533-position model. The record is from RNAcentral.